RNAcentral lists this ribosomal RNA (441 nucleotides) under uncultured bacterium. RNAcentral's name for it is "partial 16S ribosomal RNA". It matches the Rfam family "Bacterial small subunit ribosomal RNA", at positions 28 to 506 of the family's 1533-position model. The record is from RNAcentral.
GAUGAACGCUGGCGGCGUGCCUUAUACAUGCAAGUCGAGUGGGUUUAGACCCGCGGCAACCGGGUGAGUAACACGUAGGUACUUUUCUUGUCACAGGAAUAACCCCCCGAAAGGUGGGCUAAUACCUGAUGUGAUCGCAAGAUUAAAGGGUAACCGCAAGGAUUACCGGACAAGAAGAGGGCUGCAGCCUAUCAGCUAGUUGGCGGGGUAAAUGCCCACCAAGGCUAUGACGGGUCACAGGCCUUAUGAGGUUGGUCAGUCACUCGGGCGCUGAGACACAGUCCCGAAUCCUGCGGGAGGGGGCAAUAGGGGAUUUUGCACAGUGGGCGGAAGGCUGAAGGAGCUAGGCCGGGUGAGGGAUGAAGGCCUUCGGGUCGUAAACCGCUUUUAUAAGGGACGAACUUUGACGGUACCUUAGGAAAAGGAGGUUGCAACCUCGGU